RNAcentral lists this ribosomal RNA (434 nucleotides) under uncultured archaeon. RNAcentral describes it as "bacterial SSU rRNA". It matches the Rfam family "Archaeal small subunit ribosomal RNA", at positions 19 to 458 of the family's 1478-position model. The record is from RNAcentral.
GGACCUGACUGCUAUCGGAUUGAUANUAAGCCAUGCGAGUCAUUGUAGCAAUACAAGGCAGACGGCUCAGUAACGCGUAGUCAACCUACCCUAUGGACGGGAAUAACCUCGGGAAACUGAGUAUAAUGCCCGAUAGAACAUUAUACCUGGAAUGGUUUAUGUUCCAAAUGAUUUAUCGCCGUAGGAUGGGACUGCGGCCUAUCAGUUUGUUGGUGAGGUAAUGGCCCACCAAGACUAUUACAGGUACGGGCUCUGAGAGGAGUGGCCCGGAGAUGGGUACUGAGACACGGACCCAGGCCCUAUGGGGCGCAGCAGGCGAGAAAACUUUGCAAUGUGCGAAAGCACGACAAGGUUAAUCCGAGUGGUUUCUGCUAAAGGAACCUUUUGUCAGUCCUAGAAACACUGAUGAAUAAGGGGUGGGCAAGUUCUGGUGU